UUCUUCCCCUAUUUAUAUUGUUCUCUCAAAAUUGGAAUGAACCAGUUCGAUCUCUAGUCAUCUUCUUCCUCUCAUUAUGCGAAGAUUCAAAAACCAUGUUAGCGUAACUCUAAAGAAAGAAGUUUACGUCUACGAUGGUUUAUAUAUAACUUCGGGCUUUGGGGUAAAAGACUGGUCAUUUGAUGGAUGCAAGUAUGCAAGCCAUUGACGAUCUUACAGCUUGCAUCCAAGCAUAUGAGCCUUUUGAAGAACUCCGACAGUAUCCAUGGGAUGAAAUUAGAAUCUCGAUGCUAAUUUCAAGUUCAUACGGGUUGGAUGAUGCUGAAGAAGGAUUAGAACACUGGGUUAAAUGUGAAUUGCAAGUAUUCACCAGUUGUCUCAGUCUGGUAAGGGAAAAUGUCUACCAGGGAAAAUGUCUACUAGGGAAAAUGUCUGUUAUUGAUAAUAAACUGUUAAAUGUGUUUCUGAUACUAAGAGGAUAUUAGAUUUUAGAACUAGUGAAGUUGUGUAACAUAUUGAUCCGUGUAAUUGUAACCGAAAUGAAAUAAAAGUAAUUUAGUUGAAUGUGUUCUUCAA
This is a long non-coding RNA of Impatiens glandulifera, 576 nucleotides long. RefSeq lists it as uncharacterized. The transcript has 2 exons. The record is from RefSeq and is a predicted model, not a curated record. NCBI's taxonomy places the organism in Eukaryota, Viridiplantae, Streptophyta, Magnoliopsida, Ericales, Balsaminaceae.